This is a long non-coding RNA of Temnothorax curvispinosus, 984 nucleotides long. RefSeq lists it as uncharacterized. The transcript has 3 exons. The record is from RefSeq and is a predicted model, not a curated record. Lineage: Eukaryota; Metazoa; Arthropoda; Insecta; Hymenoptera; Formicidae.
AAUUGACGAGUACUAAUGUUAUGGCAAGAAUGGAAAAUUAAUUCUGUAUUUCUUAAUUACUUUGUUUCAGACAUAAUUUCGAGAUAUGCCUUGACGCAAAUGAGUUUGAAAUAAUUCGUAUAAACAUCGCGUGCGUCACGAUGUGCUUUGUGUAGCGGUAUAAUAUUAGACACCCGGUGGACGCGCAUCUCGUUCGUUGAUAUCUCGCCGCUAUAAGAUCCACGGGAAUAUCACGCUGUAUACGUGCGUGCGCGUUUCGGAUGCGUGUGCGUGCCCAUUCAGAAACUCUUCUUUCUAGUGGCCCAUUGAAGAAUCCAGCCGCGAGUCGGUGUGCCCGUUAAGCCGUGUUAUCUUAAUACUUUGAGGACCGAAGGGAUGUAUCUACACCGCAUCACGUGGGACAUACUUAGCGAUCGAAGCUAGUAAAAGAAUGAUUAAGGUCGAUGAAGACGAAAAUGCGAUCUGUCGUAACGAGGGAAAUCGGACAUCUCUAAGUUUAGCUUCUAUUUGCAUGCGGAUCAGGGACGGAUUCGAGCUGCCAAGGCGCCAUAACAUAUAAGAAUCGAUAGAUUUUUUUUUUAAUGGAGAGAUUCAAGAAGGUCAAGAGAUCACUCGCGGCCGCGAAGGUGUCUAAGACCAAAAGGAGGAAGGAAAUCUAAUUAUAGAAGUCGUUGUACCGCGUGCUCGGCGGAGAACCAUGGAGGGUGUGAGUGCGGGUGCACGAAUAAGAAUCGGUUGUGCAUUGGGCGGUCAUAAAAUGCAGUCUGCAUCCGCUCGACGCAGAUGUACUGCGGAACGGGGUUCGUUCCUCCUACGAGGAGUCCGCAAAGGAUCUCUCGUUUCGGUGUUAGGCGACCUACCGAGAUGUGCCCGGUACAAUGAACUAGAAUGAAGAUCCGCGAAACGCGAUUAAUCGAACCGCGCGCGAGAGACUCAUAGCUCUCUUUGAACCCUCCGGAUAUUGCUCGACUGGUUCAGAUUAAA